CCCCGCCCGCUGUAGCGCCACAGCUCUUUGGGCGUUGAUUCUAGGGUCAGGGCCCUCACUCACACUGCUGGAAGGUUAAAGUCGACUUCACGCUAGUUUAAGGAAAUAUCUGACGCUGAUAACCAUGUCCCAAGCACUGCUCUAAGUUCCCAAUGUGUCCGGAAUUGGUGGGUUCUUGGUCUCACUGACUUCAAGAAUGAAGCCACGGACCCUCGCGUUUUAGACUAUGCUAAAAACAGCCUCAGGACCUUCAGCACUGAUCAACAAUCCUGGGCAUGGGCUGACCGACAGUUUUCACCCAGAGAGUGAAGAUCAUGGAGGAGCCAUCUUAAAUUCUGCCCAGCGCAGGCUCCCAGGAAUCCUAAUGUCACGAUCUCACUGCAGCCAAUGUGACAAACACAGCAGUAAUUAAGUCUAGAGAGCUAAACACACCUCAAAAAGAAUUGUCUCUUGGUAUGAGUGGAAUGGAAUAAAAUACAUGGAAACCCACAAAAGUUUCGAGGUGAACAUAUUAGCAAAAAUGCUCUAGCUUAUCCAAGCGACAGUUCAAAGUGUCAAAGGACUUCUAGACUCCCAAUCUUUCCACCGGCAGAAAGCAGGCUCAGUAGCCCAAACUGGCGCAUUUUAAAAUGCCCUUUUCAGAAGUGUGAUGGAAAAAGAAGGAUGUGUCAGUGCAGGCCAGUGUGUGGGGACCAAUGGCAAACUGCAGCUCCUGAACUAAGAAAGACUUUCAUAUCUUUAAAAAAGAAAAGGAGAAAUAGGAAUAUGUGAUAGAGACUGUAUGUGGCCCACAAAGCCUAACAUAUUUACUGUUUAGAUCUUUACAGAAAAUGUUUGCCAACUCCUGUGCUGCUGAGCCACUUCCAGGUUGCAGAACCAAAGCCUUACAUUCCCUAGCUUUAAAGUAGAGGACCUGGCAAUGUUUACUCCACCGAGUUUCAAAAUAGCUAUGUGACUGCUAUUUCACCCCUUCAUUCUUCCCUUACCAAUGGGCCUUAUCCUGUCCCUGUCUCAUCACUGAAUGUUGGGUCUAAGUGGACAAUAACUUGUCUUUUCAAAAAGUGCAUAAGCUUCUAGACCAAUAAAAGCCAUAUUAGGACCUGA
RNAcentral lists this long non-coding RNA (1104 nucleotides) under Homo sapiens (human). RNAcentral's name for it is "HSALNT0318041". The record is from RNAcentral. Lineage: Eukaryota; Metazoa; Chordata; Mammalia; Primates; Hominidae.